Arachis duranensis is the source of this 2861-nucleotide RNA transcript. RefSeq lists it as uncharacterized. The record is from RefSeq and is a predicted model, not a curated record. The transcript has 7 exons. NCBI's taxonomy places the organism in Eukaryota, Viridiplantae, Streptophyta, Magnoliopsida, Fabales, Fabaceae.
AACAUUGAGCUAACCCUAACUUACACCCUAGUCUCUCGAGCUCCAUCCAUCCUCCGCACAAGUGAAUAGCUUCUUCCUAUCUCCGUCCACAGUCUCUCCGUCCACGCUCUCUCACCGUCCACGAGCUUCUUUCACUGCUGCCGUCACCGCUCGCGUCGCACAAUCUCAUCACUGACCUCAGCAACGGCCAUUCGCUGGUUAUCCUCAUCCACCGGUUCAGGAAUCACUGCACUCAUUUUUCAGGGAAGAUCUCUGCCUCUGGUGGUCGUGGAGGUAGUCGCGUCAUCGUCGUUCUCACCGCUCUGGGCCCAUCCACCUCCUUCAUGCACGGUGUCAUCUCCCUUCAACUUUGCGACGGCGCCGUUGGCUGUCGCCCAGCCAACCACAACCUUUGUAAAUGAGUAAGGUAGCUUUGGCGGUGGGCGAUUCAACCCCUCCGCUGCUACUCUGCCGCCCUGGAUGGCAACUUCCUCCUCAGCUCGGCCCGAGCCGUUUCCUCCAAAUGCGCCAAAUGUAGAUCCAGGUGUUCUUCUCUUGUGUGUUCUGGAAUGAGAGGUAAUUUUGAUUGCAGUUUUGGAAUUGAAUUUUGGAAUCCUGCUCGAACUGAAAUUGCUCUUGAUUAUACUGGUUGAAAUUCAAAAUUGAAAGCUAAUUCUUCUUCUUCAGCCAAAUCUGUUGCUUCUUCUUCGUUUUCUGCAUAAAUAGACAAAGAUGAAUGCUGAAUUAUUGCUCGAUCUGCCAGCUCUGUUGAUUUUGUUUGUUGUUGAGGUUAAAAUAUAAAAUUGAAAUCUGAUGAGUCUCCUUCUUCUCCUUUGAUGUGAACUUCUUCUCUUUGCUGAAUUGUUGCUGAGUAGUGAAAAUUCUGCAUUUGAUUUGGCCUGAAUCUGGAAAAUUGGAGGCUCCUGGAGUCGUUGAUGAUCGUUGAUUUGGCUGUGGUUACUGUUCUAAGGUCGUAUAAUGAGACUACAUUUUUGGUUAGUCAAUAUUAUCCCAUCACCAUCUUCAAUUAAGCUCUGUCAUAUAAGCUCUAGCCCUGUUAUUGUUUCUAGACUAGUAUGAUUUUCCCUUUAAUUCAUGAAAUAGGUUGAAUUUGGAUCCUCUAAAUCUUAAAUUUGUACUUUAGAGGAUCCAAAUCCAAACAGAUUUGGGAAGGACAUGAAUUUCAGUACCAAGAUGAACUUGCCAAAUUGGUGGUGUCUCUAGAACGUUUCUUUAGGUUCGAUGUGCCGGCUCAGACUUCAAGAGAUACCAAAGAGACCUUGCUCAAAAUCAUAAGGAUACUUAGUGUUGUUAGGAAGCUGCCCUUAGCUAGAACUGAAAGCGCAACCGGUUCGGCUUCUAACUUGGAUUCUAUGCCUCUGGAAUCAAAUGUGUGUGGCACUCUACCACUGCAGCUGAAUGAUGAAAAGGAGAGGGAACUUGAUUCUACUGAGGAAUCCGCCGAAUUAGAGCACCUUGCUAAGCCAAUCUUGGAAGAUAUUGCCAGCCUUGUGCAGAAGGGUAGCCAAGGAAAAAUGAUUCUGUUUAGCUGAGCUUUUGAACACGAGCAGUGGAAUAAUGUUCAUAGCCACUGAACUUAAAAACUGAUUUAACAAGAAGAAAGCUAAGGGACUUCUGUUUUGCAGAGGCAGAAAUACAUAAAGGGCAUCAAGACUUGCAAAGCAAGCAUGAAGGAAGUGGGAGACUGAGAAGCAGCAUUGAGUUUUUUGGCAGUAGAAUGGACUUUACAGAUAGUGAUUCCAUUGUAUUCAAUGAAAAUAAUUUGAUUGCUGAAGAUAUCUCUAAACUAGAAGAUGCGUUUAAGCAGCUACUGUCAUUUUUCAGCUCUGAUGAAGAGGUUGUCAAGCUUGCAAAUGACUCAAGAUAUGGGCUUGGCUGUACUGUUUUCUCAGGCAAUCAGAGCCAUGCCAGAGAGAUAGCUUCGUAGGUAGAUACAUUGUGGCUUUGCUGCUAUUAAUGAUUUUGGAGCAACAUAUAUGUGUCAGUCCCUCUCAUUUGGGGGUGUCAAACACAGUGGAUUUGGACGAUUUGGUGGUGCAGAAGGUUUGUGAGCAUGCUGCCUUGUAAAAGCUGUUGUUGAAGAUAGAUUGUUGCCAUACAUAAAAACCGUGAUUCCUAAGCCUAUUCAGUAUCCUGUAGCAGAAAAUGCCUUUGAAUUUCAGGAGUCACUAGUUGAAGCACUAUAUGGUCUCAGCAUAUGGGACCGUUUGAAAGCAUUGGUAAGUGUUUUAAAAGUACUUACUGAGCAGAAUUCUACCAACAGCAGUAAGUUGAAAUGACUAAUCAUACCUUUGCAUCUAACACACCAAAUUGUUUCAAUUUUGAAGUCCCAGCAGUUGACCAAUACAUUAUCAUGAAAAAUAGCUUAUCAGACCCAUUAAGGUUCAAACAAAUGCUUAGAGAUAAUUAAACAACUUUUUCAUGCAUAGAUUUGAUUGAUGAGAAAAUCAAAGGAUACAAAGCAGCCAAAGCUCACAUGCAAAACACCAUCUUCACCCAAACAAUCUUUUCCAAGAAGUUAGAAAAGUUGGAACAGGCAAUUGGAAAGGCCAAGAAGGAAAAGUUGAAACAGAAGAGAUAGAAUGAGGCUUAUGAGAAGGUUAGAGUGUCAAGUAGUUCUAGUGUAGUUCUACUACCACCGCCACCGCCGCCACCCUCAAUGUCUUCAGAUGAGGACUAUGAUGAUGAUGUGGAUGAAGAUGACACUGAAGACUAUAGCUGAUAGUUUUUGUAUGGUUGAACAAUAUACUAGGAAUUAUAGUUGAUGAUCAAUACACUUUGUUUAUGUUUUGAAUUAUAUUGAUUUGCUUGUUUAUAGUACUUUUCUUUUUAGUUUGAUAAUACGAUAAAUUUGUUUAUUU